This 353-nucleotide unclassified non-coding RNA is filed under the name soil metagenome. RNAcentral describes it as "partial contains 5.8S ribosomal RNA, internal transcribed spacer 2, and large subunit ribosomal RNA". The stretch from base 1 to 120 matches the Rfam family "5.8S ribosomal RNA", at positions 35 to 154 of the family's 154-position model. The record is from RNAcentral.
GAUGAAGAACGCAGCGAAAUGCGAUAAGUAAUGUGAAUUGCAGAAUUCAGUGAAUCAUCGAAUCUUUGAACGCACAUUGCGCCCAUUAGUAUUCUAAUGGGCAUGCCUGUUCGAGCGUCAUUUCAACCCUCAAGCCUUAGUUGCUUGGUGUUGGGAGCUUAUCCUGCCGGAAGGCGGGACAACUCCUUAAAUUUAUUGGCGGAGUCGCGGUGACCCCAAGCGCAGUAAUUCUUUUUUUCUCGCUUUAGGUGUUAUCGCUGGCUUCUAGCCAUUAAACCCCCCCUAUUUUUUAAUGGUUGACCUCGGAUCAGGUAGGACUACCCGCUGAACUUAAGCAUAUCAAUAAGCGGAGA